This 2787-nucleotide ribosomal RNA is filed under the name Escherichia coli. Its description in RNAcentral is "bacterial LSU rRNA". It matches the Rfam family "Bacterial large subunit ribosomal RNA". Lineage: Bacteria; Pseudomonadati; Pseudomonadota; Gammaproteobacteria; Enterobacterales; Enterobacteriaceae. The record is from RNAcentral.
AGCGUACACGGUGGAUGCCCUGGCAGUCAGAGGCGAUGAAGGACGUGCUAAUCUGCGAUAAGCGUCGGUAAGGUGAUAUGAACCGUUAUAACCGGCGAUUUCCGAAUGGGGAAACCCAGUGUGAUUCGUCACACUAUCAUUAACUGAAUCCAUAGGUUAAUGAGGCGAACCGGGGGAACUGAAACAUCUAAGUACCCCGAGGAAAAGAAAUCAACCGAGAUUCCCCCAGUAGCGGCGAGCGAACGGGGAGCAGCCCAGAGCCUGAAUCAGUGUGUGUGUUAGUGGAAGCGUCUGGAAAGGCGUGCGAUACAGGGUGACAGCCCCGUACACAAAAAUGCACAUGCUGUGAGCUCGAUGAGUAGGGCGGGACACGUGGUAUCCUGUCUGAAUAUGGGGGGACCAUCCUCCAAGGCUAAAUACUCCUGACUGACCGAUAGUGAACCAGUACCGUGAGGGAAAGGCGAAAAGAACCCCGGCGAGGGGAGUGAAAAAGAACCUGAAACCGUGUACGUACAAGCAGUGGGAGCACGCUUAGGCGUGUGACUGCGUACCUUUUGUAUAAUGGGUCAGCGACUUAUAUUCUGUAGCAAGGUUAACCGAAUAGGGGAGCCGAAGGGAAACCGAGUCUUAACUGGGCGUUAAGUUGCAGGGUAUAGACCCGAAACCCGGUGAUCUAGCCAUGGGCAGGUUGAAGGUUGGGUAACACUAACUGGAGGACCGAACCGACUAAUGUUGAAAAAUUAGCGGAUGACUUGUGGCUGGGGGUGAAAGGCCAAUCAAACCGGGAGAUAGCUGGUUCUCCCCGAAAGCUAUUUAGGUAGCGCCUCGUGAAUUCAUCUCCGGGGGUAGAGCACUGUUUCGGCAAGGGGGUCAUCCCGACUUACCAACCCGAUGCAAACUGCGAAUACCGGAGAAUGUUAUCACGGGAGACACACGGCGGGUGCUAACGUCCGUCGUGAAGAGGGAAACAACCCAGACCGCCAGCUAAGGUCCCAAAGUCAUGGUUAAGUGGGAAACGAUGUGGGAAGGCCCAGACAGCCAGGAUGUUGGCUUAGAAGCAGCCAUCAUUUAAAGAAAGCGUAAUAGCUCACUGGUCGAGUCGGCCUGCGCGGAAGAUGUAACGGGGCUAAACCAUGCACCGAAGCUGCGGCAGCGACGCUUAUGCGUUGUUGGGUAGGGGAGCGUUCUGUAAGCCUGUGAAGGUGUACUGUGAGGUAUGCUGGAGGUAUCAGAAGUGCGAAUGCUGACAUAAGUAACGAUAAAGCGGGUGAAAAGCCCGCUCGCCGGAAGACCAAGGGUUCCUGUCCAACGUUAAUCGGGGCAGGGUGAGUCGACCCCUAAGGCGAGGCCGAAAGGCGUAGUCGAUGGGAAACAGGUUAAUAUUCCUGUACUUGGUGUUACUGCGAAGGGGGGACGGAGAAGGCUAUGUUGGCCGGGCGACGGUUGUCCCGGUUUAAGCGUGUAGGCUGGUUUUCCAGGCAAAUCCGGAAAAUCAAGGCUGAGGCGUGAUGACGAGGCACUACGGUGCUGAAGCAACAAAUGCCCUGCUUCCAGGAAAAGCCUCUAAGCAUCAGGUAACAUCAAAUCGUACCCCAAACCGACACAGGUGGUCAGGUAGAGAAUACCAAGGCGCUUGAGAGAACUCGGGUGAAGGAACUAGGCAAAAUGGUGCCGUAACUUCGGGAGAAGGCACGCUGAUAUGUAGGUGAAGUCCCUCGCGGAUGGAGCUGAAAUCAGUCGAAGAUACCAGCUGGCUGCAACUGUUUAUUAAAAACACAGCACUGUGCAAACACGAAAGUGGACGUAUACGGUGUGACGCCUGCCCGGUGCCGGAAGGUUAAUUGAUGGGGUUAGCGCAAGCGAAGCUCUUGAUCGAAGCCCCGGUAAACGGCGGCCGUAACUAUAACGGUCCUAAGGUAGCGAAAUUCCUUGUCGGGUAAGUUCCGACCUGCACGAAUGGCGUAAUGAUGGCCAGGCUGUCUCCACCCGAGACUCAGUGAAAUUGAACUCGCUGUGAAGAUGCAGUGUACCCGCGGCAAGACGGAAAGACCCCGUGAACCUUUACUAUAGCUUGACACUGAACAUUGAGCCUUGAUGUGUAGGAUAGGUGGGAGGCUUUGAAGUGUGGACGCCAGUCUGCAUGGAGCCGACCUUGAAAUACCACCCUUUAAUGUUUGAUGUUCUAACGUUGACCCGUGAUCCGGGUUGCGGACAGUGUCUGGUGGGUAGUUUGACUGGGGCGGUCUCCUCCUAAAGAGUAACGGAGGAGCACGAAGGUUGGCUAAUCCUGGUCGGACAUCAGGAGGUUAGUGCAAUGGCAUAAGCCAGCUUGACUGCGAGCGUGACGGCGCGAGCAGGUGCGAAAGCAGGUCAUAGUGAUCCGGUGGUUCUGAAUGGAAGGGCCAUCGCUCAACGGAUAAAAGGUACUCCGGGGAUAACAGGCUGAUACCGCCCAAGAGUUCAUAUCGACGGCGGUGUUUGGCACCUCGAUGUCGGCUCAUCACAUCCUGGGGCUGAAGUAGGUCCCAAGGGUAUGGCUGUUCGCCAUUUAAAGUGGUACGCGAGCUGGGUUUAGAACGUCGUGAGACAGUUCGGUCCCUAUCUGCCGUGGGCGCUGGAGAACUGAGGGGGGCUGCUCCUAGUACGAGAGGACCGGAGUGGACGCAUCACUGGUGUUCGGGUUGUCAUGCCAAUGGCACUGCCCGGUAGCUAAAUGCGGAAGAGAUAAGUGCUGAAAGCAUCUAAGCACGAAACUUGCCCCGAGAUGAGUUCUCCCUGACUCCUUGA